RNAcentral lists this long non-coding RNA (1633 nucleotides) under Monodelphis domestica (gray short-tailed opossum). RNAcentral describes it as "lncRNA (ENSMODG00000040443.1)". The record is from RNAcentral. Lineage: Eukaryota; Metazoa; Chordata; Mammalia; Didelphimorphia; Didelphidae.
UACAGUCUGUGUUUAAAAAUGAACCGGCUCAGCAUCUCCCCCUGUGACUCCGGGACCAGCCGGCAGCUCCCCAGCGGAGGGUAGAAGACACCAAGGACGCGGCCAUCCUUCACCAGGGAGCUCCUGCAGAGUCCUCGCGCAGGGAGGAAGCCCGGCUCCGUGGAUCAGGCAAAUUCAGGAAGAGAACCGGCGAAGCCCACCUGGCCCACAGGAACGGCAGGAGAGAAAGGUGGAAGGUGUCUCGGAUCUCCGCUGGCCGGUGGAGAGGCCGCCCACAGACGGGAGCCUCAGACAAACCGCAUUUAAGCACCCUUUAGUAGGUAACUCGUGCGCUCCAGACGGCCCACAGAGCUCGUCUACUCGUGGGGGGACCACAUAUGCCCAAAGAAGUCAAGAAUGGAAGGUGCCGAGCCAGCGAGGGCAGUCAAGAUGGGCCUCGGGUAGAAGCUGGCUCUGAGGCGAGCCUAGAAGGAAACUGAAGGUAAGAGCCUGGAUUCCAGGGUGCAGGUGGGGCAAAGAGGCAGAGGGAAGAGACGGAGCGCCCUGCGUGGAGGACUCCAAUGCCCAGACCUGGGAGGAGGGCACGGUGUUUCCUGUCAUCUUUCACAGGUCUCCGGGACAUAGACAGGCUCCAUCAAGGGAGGCUCCAUUCAAGUGGUCUGCUGGGAAGUUUACUUGUUCAUCUAUAUCAAGGCCUUACAGAGCACAACAAGGUUCUCUGUAGACAAUAGGUCUUUAAUUAAAUACAGUGAAUGGGAGGGCCCUGUAAUUAGAAGAAAGAGAGAAAGAAAGAAGAAAGAAAGAAGAAAGAAAGAAAGAAAGAAAGAAAGAAAGAAAGAAAGAAAGAAAGAAAGAAAGAAAGAAAGAAAGAAAGAAAGAAAGAAAGAAAGAAAGAAAGAAAGAAAGAAGAAAGAAGAAAGAAAGAAAGAGACAGAAAGAAAGAAAGAAAGAAAGAAAGAAAGAAAGAAAGAAAGAAAGAAAGAAAGAAAGAAAGAAAGAAAGAAAGAAAGAAAGAAAGAAAGAAAGAGAAAGAAAGAAAGAAAGAAAGAAAGAAAGAAAGAAAGAAGAAAGAAAGAAAGAAAGAAAGAAAGAAAGAAAGAAAGAAAGAAAGAAAGAAAGAAAGAAAGAAAGAAAGAAAGAAAGAAAGAAAGAAAGAAAGAAAGAAAGAAAGAAAGAAAGAAAGAAAGAAAGAAAGAAAGAAAGAAAGAGAAAGAAAGAAAGCCAUAUAAUUAGUAAAGCAACCUGAAGGAAGGGAGAAUGCAUGAGAUGAUGGGACAAAUUGAUGACAAUUUGUUCAGCUUUCCUGCUCUCCCAAAUGGAUUCUAAGAUGGUUUGGAGUCAGUGAAAUAGGAAGUUAAGGGGGAAAGCUCAUCCUCCUAUCUAUAUCUGUCAUCUUUCUUUUCAUCUGUACAUCCUCCAGAUAUCUGAGUGGCCAGAGAGCUGAUGAAGGGAUCUGGAAGACUUGGACCCCAGUUGUGUCUCUUCUCCACCCUGUCUGUAUAAUCUUGGACAAGUCACUUAAACACUUAGUGCCUCAGACAACUCUCUAAGACCAGAAGUGAUAGAGGCAUCACUGAUGUCUGUCCAUGUGCCAAACCCUGAGGAAAUGAAUAAAGAUGAAAGCUAGAACUCA